UACGAAGGGGGCUAGCGUUGCUCGGAAUCACUGGGCGUAAAGCGCACGUAGGCGGACUCUUAAGUCGGUGGUGAAAUCCUGGAGCUCAACUCCAGAACUGCCUUCGAUACUGAGAGUCUCGAGUCCGAGAGAGGUGAGUGGAACUGCGAGUGUAGAGGUGAAAUUCGUAGAUAUUCGCAAGAACACCAGUGGCGAAGGCGGCUCACUGGACCGGAACUGACGCUGAGGCGCGAAAGCGUGGGGAGCAAACGGG
This 253-nucleotide ribosomal RNA is filed under the name uncultured bacterium. RNAcentral describes it as "partial 16S ribosomal RNA". It matches the Rfam family "Bacterial small subunit ribosomal RNA", at positions 524 to 776 of the family's 1533-position model. The record is from RNAcentral.